This 883-nucleotide long non-coding RNA is filed under the name Vulpes vulpes (red fox). RNAcentral's name for it is "lncRNA (ENSVVUG00000010798.1)". The record is from RNAcentral. Lineage: Eukaryota; Metazoa; Chordata; Mammalia; Carnivora; Canidae.
AAAUGAUUUGAUUAUGUAAACCGACUUGAUUUCACCAAUAAAUUGUGGCUUUCAUUGUUUUCCAUUGCCUGUUUUCAACCUUACCUGAAGCCCACUGUUGAAUCUGCCUGAAUUUUCAUCUUUUGAAGCAGGAAGUUGAUGAGACCUAUGCUUCUCAAAAUUUAAUGUGCAGAUGUAAACAACUGGAGGAUGUUGGUAAAAAAUUAGAUUCUGACUCAGUAGCUCUGGUGUGGGCCUUUGAGUGUCUGCAUGUCUGACAUGCCAAUGCUGGUGGUCAGAGGACUGCACUCUGCAUCACAGGCAGAGUGAAGUAACCACGGCUUGACCCAUCAAGUAUAACAAUUGUGUAUAUUCCGAAGAUAUUCUGAGAGUGUCAUUGAAAUUCUACACUCUUAUGUUCUGAAAGUUGCCAUAUUUCUACUCAGGAACUGCUUGUGGGUGAGUGGGCCUGGAUCAUUCAGCAUGUAGUCCUUAUCUCGAAUUCACAAAAUCAGACCACACCUUUGAAGGGCCACAUCCAAACCAAAAACUUCUCAUGAAAUAGAACGAUAGUGACUACACUUUUAAAAGGUCAAGAGAUUUGCCUUGGGUUUCUACAGCCGAAGAGUUUCAUCACUUUUUCUGUGGAGUGCUGAGCUGCCAGGACUUUGAAAUGAAAUAUAUCUACUGUGGCAAAGAUUUCUCUCAAGCAUUGCGGUUAUUCACAGGAUUCUACUCUUCAGAGCACUGUUGCCAUCUUCAGCCUCCCCUGACAAUUGGAUUUGCCCCAAAGGAACGACCCAUUAUUUUAAGUCAUUUGUCAGCCCUUUGACAUCAGGGUGGCUUUGGAACUCCUCAAUAUGAAUAUGAACAUGACACACAAUAAAAUUUCCUGCCCACGGCA